UUUCUGUAUUCCGGGUUCUUGCCUUGGUGUACCAGAAGAACCCGAUCACCCAUGGGCUAGGAGAAUGAGUGCAACGUUUUAUUGAGUGGAAGUAACUCUCAUCUGAUGGUGGAAUCAGAAGGGAGAUGGUUUUCCCCUGGAGUUGGGCUGCUAGGUGGCCCUGUCUCUUCUCCGACUGCCCCGGCCAAACUCCACCUCGUCCUGCCAGUCAAUGGCCUGCCAGCAUGUCAGUGCCUCUCGGUGUGCUGUUCUGCUGGCAUGCUCCUCUUGACGACCAGCUCCUUGGGUCUUCCACCGAAGUGUUCCUCACAAUGUCCAGCCGCUCGUGUGUCUGCCCACUAGGGUCUCGGGUUUUUAUAGGCCCAGGAUUGGGGCGUGGUAGGCCAAGGUGGUCUUGGAAAAUGGCAACAUUUGGGCAUGAAAGCAGGAGUGCCUAUCCUCACCUAGAUCUAUGGGGGUGGGGCCCUAGCCAGGGACCCACCUUUCUCUACCCAGCACUUCCCCUCCCCCUUUCCGUAUCAUUUUACGGGACCACACUCUUCCCUUCCCAGUACUCCCGUAAUCAAUAGCACAUAAAACCUUUAGUUCUACUGAAAAUUUGGAGUGGUCUCUCCAUAGUUAGAGCACAUGUACUAUUUGGUAAGCUUACCCUUGGUAAUUCAUGAUACCAGCUGAAGACAUCAACACCAAUAAGUGAGAAGAUUCUUGCCAAGGGUGGAAGGAUUUGCUUGGUAAUAUAGUAAGUGGCAUUCAGUCUCAGAGUCGGGUCCUGCAAGACUUCCACUGGGCGCCUUACAAGCUGGAUAAGUGGUACUCCAGGGGUCCCAUAAAUGAUGACGUAUGGUACUCGCUCCCCAACCUGAGGCUCAGAGCGCCGGUCAUAAGUCAGCAUUUUCCUAUUCAAAUCCAAAGAAAAAAACCACACCCAAAUAUUGUCAUGGAAGCCAUCUUUCUCACAAAUUAAGUCAGAAUUAAACAAUAAUAAAACAAUGAAAAAACUACAAAAGACACUUUCAAAACAGAAUUACUAUUUCUUUGAGAAUAAUAUACAUUUUGCUUAGUUGACACCAAGUGUAGAUAUCCUACAAGAGUUUAAAAAUUACUCCGUAAAUCAUUGUUACCUGGAAAAUAAUGAGUUGGCAGAUAUCAACUAGCUUAAGAUGUACUUUAGGUGGGAGUGGUGGCUCAUGCCUGUAAUUCCAGCACUUUAGGAGGCCAAGGAUCGCCUGAGCCCAGGAGUUUGAGACCAGCUUGGGCAACAUAGUGAGACCCCCAUCUCCACAAAAAAAUUAGCCACCAUAAUGGUGCACACCUGUUAUCCCAGCUACUUGGGAGGCUGAUGUGGGAGGAUCGUUUGAGCCUGGGAGGUCAAGGCUGCAGUGAGCUGUGAUUGCACCGCUGCUUUCCAGCCUGGGCGACAGAGUGAGACUCUGCCUCCAGGGGCAGGAAAAAGAUGUAUUUUAUCCCCUAAGAAUGAGAACUAACUAUCAUAAAUCUAUCAUGAAAGAUAAGAGAAAAUUUACCUGGUUAAACUAUCUGAUUCCAGAAUGAUACCAUCUAAAUGCUUUGGUAGAACAAUAUUAAGGACUACCUAGUGAUUUUGAUGUGGGAAAAACAAAUGAAUCAAGCACUGUGUCACAAUUUCUUUGCGUAAGUUUCUGAAGGAAAGCCCAAAGAGGAUUUCCUCUUCACACCUUACAAAGUAUGAGGGAGUAUUCACUAACUUUCAGUGAGGCUUCAUGUGCACAGGUAAAGAAACAAUUUUGUGUCUGUGUCUAUGGACUGUCUUUUCAUUUGGGUCUUCUAGACCUGUGCAGAAUCUCAGGGCUAUCCUGGCAAGGUACUGAGGGUAUCAUUACCUUGUAAGUUCAAGGGCUGGCACACAAGCUCCUGGUUUAUAAGAAAAACUUCCUCUGUAUUCCUUGGCAAAGAUAAAGUCUUGUAUGCUGGCCUUUCCUUCCAGAAGCUUCAUACAUUGUCGCUGAACAUACUGUUUAAUUAGACUUAUAUCUCUCGUUUCAAAUAGCAGCUUUAGAGAACGCUCAAGUAUCUUAAAACAAAAAAGAUAUGCAAGUAAAGAUAAAAUACCUCCUAGUAUGUUUCACCAUUGUUAUUACACUUUCAAUUAUGUAACUACUGGGUAACCUGCUAACCUACCUAAAUAAUCUGUUACUUACAAUGAUGGGAUAAUAAAAUUAUUAAAAAUUGAAAGUUAUUUGAGACUUUAUAGAGCUUGCUAUUUCUAAAAAUAGAAUAUCAUGUAGUUUAAGGAAAAUCAUGUGGAAUGACAUGCAGAUUAACAUUUGCUAUGUGAUAAGCAACAUAAAACACGUAAGUUUUUUUUUUUUAAUAGUCAAAGCCUCUAGGUACAAGAAACCAGACACGAUUUCAUGUAUUGUUUUUUUAUUUACCAGUAUAGAAAGGGUCCUGAUUCAGUCACAGGAAGCACAGAGAAGUUUAAAGAUCACCAGGCAGUCAAAUCAAAAUCAGCCUUUUUGACUUUUUAUAAUGUUGAUAAAUAACUAUGACAGAAUUUUCUGUGUUGGAAAUUUCUACUAGGAAAUAACCAGCAUGCAGUGGAUUUACGUAAGAUUAAUUUUUUUUUUUUUUUUUUGAGACGGAGUCUUGCUCUGUCACUCAGGCUGGAGUGCAAUGGCGUGAUCUCGGCUCACUGCAACCUCUGCCUCCCGGGUUCAAGCGAUUCUCCUGCCUCAGCCUCCCGAGUAGCUGGGACUACAGGCGUGUGCCACCACGCCCGGCUAAUUUUUUGUUUUAGUAGAGACGGGGUUUCACCGUGUUAGCCAGGAUGGUCUCGAUCUCCUGACCUCAUGAUCCGCCCGCCUCGGCCUCCCAAAGCGCUGGGAUUAUAGGCGUGAGCCACCGUGCCCGGCCAAGUAGAUUAAGUUAGUUCUAGGUGAAAGCUCUGUGUCUUAUUCUGAAUACUGGAACCAAUGGAUAUUUAUACAAUAAGCUUAUUAAUUUAGCUUGAGUACAAGUCUGCCUACAGAGAAAGAAGGUACUGGAUUAUAUCUCUUCCAGAAAUACUGCUGGAAAAAACCCCAAAUUCACAUAAUAUUAUAUAUAUGACAUAAUAUAUUGAUAAUAUUCAAUCCACUAUGCUUUUAAUGCUCUCAUCAAACAGUAUAUAGAAUGCUAUUCCCAUUUAUACCAUUUAUUUUUGUUUUGCUAUAGAAGGAGUCUAGGCCUGAGUAAAGAAAAAGCCAAAAAAUAUCAUGGUUAUUAUGGCUGAGAAAUUUGAGUAAUUUAUAGCUAAUUGUUUGGAAAUCUUCCUAAUUUGUAUUUGAUAAUCCAAAUAAAUGAAAGUUCAGUUAAUCUGGAAUGGAUUAUGUUACUUAUGCAAUCUCUCUGUUUCUCUCUAUUUUGAUGGAGUCUCACUCUCUUGCCCAGGCUGAGUGCAGUAUUGUGAUCUUGGCUGUCUGCAGCCUCCUCCUCCCGGGUUCAAGUGAUUCUCACACCUCAGCCUCCUGAGUAGCUGGGAUUACAGGCAUGCGCCACCACACCUGGAUAAUUUUUGUAUUUUUAGUAGAGAUGGGGUUUCACUAUGUUGGCCAGGCUGGUCUCGAACUCCUGAUCUCAAGUGAUCUGCCUGCCUUGGCCUCCCAAAGUGCUGGGAUUACAGGCGUGAGCCACCACACCUGGUCUGUUUGUCUUGUUUAUCCUGCUCUGCUUUCGGGAGUUGUCACACUAUGACAUAUAUGAUCUCCAGGCAAUAGGCAGGAAACUCUCAUGUAUUGCUUUUUAGUAAUUUUUGAUAAAACGUAAGGUAUGGGAGGAAGUCAGAAACUUAAGGACUAAAAUCAAAUAAAUUGUUUUUAUUAGAAAUAAAAUUCUAGCUACUCAGGAGGCUGAGGCGGAAAGAUUGCUUGAGCUCAGGAGGUCAAGGCUGCAGUGAGCCAGGAUUGGACUACUGCACUCCAGCCUGGGUGACAAAGUGAGACCCUGUCUCAAACAAACAAAAACAAAAUAAGAUACUACAAAUAAAAUUCUCAAAAUUCAUGUAGUUACUCCUAUAGUCAUAUUAAUUAUAUAGGCUAUAUAGUUCCUUCACCUAGAUGUAUGUUUAAGGAUAGUUACAUUUUCACCAGAUACUUUAGCCACUUACUUCUUACAGAUGAAGACAAGACAGAUAAACCUUACCUUAGAAACAGCAGGGCAGGAAUCUCUUCUGACUGUUUCUAUUCCUUUUGCAUCAAAUACCGGGUCCUUCUGAUCCAGUGUUUCAUACAUGUAACCCACAUACCUCUUUUUUGUUUGUAAAACACAGGGCAAAUAUACCUGUGGUAAAAUUAAUAAAAUGCCUCUU
RNAcentral lists this non-coding RNA (4324 nucleotides) under Pongo abelii (Sumatran orangutan). Lineage: Eukaryota; Metazoa; Chordata; Mammalia; Primates; Hominidae. The record is from RNAcentral.